GACGAACGCUGGCGGCGUGCUUAACACAUGCAAGUCGAACGGAAAGGCCCUGCUUUUGUGGGGUGCUCGAGUGGCGAACGGGUGAGUAACACGUGAGUAACCUGCCCUUGACUUUGGGAUAACUUCAGGAAACUGGGGCUAAUACCGGAUAGGAGCUCCUGCUGCAUGGUGGGGGUUGGAAAGUUUCGGCGGUUGGGGCUGGACUCGCGGCUUAUCAGCUUGUUGGUGGGGUAGUGGCUUACCAAGGCUUUGACGGGUAGCCGGCCUGAGAGGGUGACCGGCCUCAUUGGGACUGAGAUACGGCCCAGACGCCUACGGGAGGCAGCAGUGGGGAAUAUUGCACAAUGGGCGGAAGCCUGAUGCAGCAACGCCGCGUGCGGGAUGACGGCCUUCGGGUUGUAAACCGCUUUCGCCUGUGACGAAGCGUGAGUGACGGUAAUGGGUAAAGAAGCACCGGCUAACUACGUG
Molecule: ribosomal RNA, 468 nt
Filed under: uncultured bacterium
Lineage: Bacteria
Description: partial 16S ribosomal RNA
Rfam family: Bacterial small subunit ribosomal RNA
Source: RNAcentral